Fukomys damarensis (Damara mole-rat) is the source of this 3183-nucleotide long non-coding RNA. RefSeq lists it as uncharacterized. Lineage: Eukaryota; Metazoa; Chordata; Mammalia; Rodentia; Bathyergidae. The transcript has 5 exons. The record is from RefSeq and is a predicted model, not a curated record.
ACGUGAGAGGAUUACAGUCCCACUGCCUGAGUCACUGGGCUCCCACCCUGGUGCAGAGAAGCUAUUUCUAAAGGUCAGAUUGCACUGCUCCGCCCCAUGUGGUUUGAAGUAGAAACCCAGGGAUUCCGGUGUUGGAGCAGAAAUGAUUAGGGCUCAACAAUGCACACUUGGCGCUCACGUUUUGCCCUUGCUGUAACGCUACAGGCCGGCACUCCCAGGAGGCCCGUUCUGUGAGAGGCCGGCUUACAGAUGUUCCGCACGCUGGAGGCAGGUGUGCAGGGCGGAACCUAGCGACUCAGGGCUCAGACCCAACACGAGGGAAGGGGCGCGGAGAGACCAUAGGCGUGGGAUCAGGAGACACUUCCUGUGGGAAGUCUGCAGCAGACCGGUUCCAACUGCUACCUCUGAGAAAGGGAAGGAGAGCGGACCUAACCACUGUGACCAGGCUGGUAAAACGCUCCCAAGUCUCAUCUGUGCAGUUAGUACUUCCUCACGGCCACUUCAGAGGGAGGCUCGGGCACACCAGGGCCGCACAGCCAGAGGGUGCUGCCACCUCCUCCACUGGCAGCUCCAAGGCCCACUCCCUGCUGCGACCCUCUUCCCGCUUGUCUCCCAAGUGCAGCUGUCCUGCCUGCCCUCCGGCUCUGCUUCCCGCCUGGUCUCUUUCUUGAGUCCUCCAUUCUCCCUCUCCUUUGUGCUUUGGACCCUUGGGAGGUCUGUGUGACCUCAGAUGCUCCUGGGCCAGCUGGUGGGAGCGGGUGGGGCCUCGGAGGAAGAGCCCUCGGCCCCCAGGGCCCAGUGUCAGAGCUGAUGCCUCUCUCCCUGCCCUGGAUCUAGCUAGGCCCCUCUCCCCGCCUUCUGCGUUGUUGACCAACAGCCUAGAUCUGAUGCAGGAGCAGAAGAAUUUCCAUUCAGCUGGGACCCAGAUGAUGGUCGUCUCUGCCAAAACCCACAUACUGACCGAUAGAUCACUCAUUGAUGGAAGGGAAUAGAGCACAGGGCCUUCUAAUAAUGGUCUCGUAGUGCUCUGGAUUCAGCCCCAUGAAUGCGGACAGCAAAGAACCCCAGUUCUGGAGGCGGACAGGCCCAGUUCACCCACGUCCGCACCUGCGGGCUAGGCCGAGCGGCCCCAGAAAGGGGUCAAAUUCUCAGCCCCAAGUCUGCCUCUGCAGAACAGGCACAGGGUUGACAGUCAGGUGAGGGAGAGAGCAGCCAGGUAUCUGCUCCCAGGAGAGACACAAGCCUUGACAGGAGGGUGACAUUAAUCAAUACGGCAAGAGCCCCGCUGCAUCAGUGGUGUGACCCCCGGUACCGACGGUGAUGCUCUCAUAGGUUCUCUGCCAGCCAAGAUCCGACUCCUCACAGAGGCUACGGCUCAUUUCCUUCUGAAAAAUGGCACCCAGUUGUCCUUUGACUGGGCCACGGGCGCCAUGCAUUCUCCUCACAGCUGGAGGUACAGGCUCCCAGGCCCCAGGGAGCUGGGGAACUGAGGAUCUAUGAGGAGUAAGGCCCUGGAGGAGCUCAUGGAGGCCUCUCACCGGGCUGAAGACAGAAAAGGCCCUCCUCCCCCUCUGCUAGCUAUGGCUGCUCUCUUCCUCAUCAAACAGAGGCCAGUUUGGGUCUUGAAGGAAUCUGCACGGUGGCAGACCCAGGGGACUUCUGGCGUCUCACUCAGGCCUGGGGAUGACAAGAUGUACACAGCCAGAGGACAAGAGUCAGCUGCACUCAUGGAUCUGUGGGACCAGGGCAGGUUACAGAAGAAGGGAAAUCUAAGAACCCCGGGGGCCCCUCUCCACACCUGGAAGAUGGCCAGACGCCUCCCUCCCUGUAUCAGAGCCAUGGAGCAUCCAGACAGGGCCUCCUAAGUGGGAGCCAGACAAAAGAAAUGGCCCAGCAGCCCAGCACACCUCCUCUCCCCAAAGAAGACACAGAAAGGGAGUGAGGGCUUCGCCUGGGCCGGACCCGGGAGGUGGCCUGGUAACGGGAGAGUCCCCAGGUUUCGAGUGGAGGAACGACUUAGAGGAACGUGGGCCGAACACAAAAACCCUCAAAAGUGAGGUGACGAAACAAAGGGAUAAAAUGAAACAGAAGAGUGAGGUUGUGGUGGGGCAGGGGUGGGGCAGGGGGCACCCCCAAAUCAAAGACUGAAACAAGACAGGGCUGAGUGAACAGCUAAGUGCAAACAGAUCGCCAGGCACCGCUGAAGAUGAGGAGGUGAUCACAGAGGUUAGAAAGGAACUAACGGGAGAGCAGGGCAGAGGGCACCCAGCACAUCCCGGCCUGGAAGACAGAAGCCAAGAAAUGGCAGGGAGAAGCCAAAGACACAAACCAGUGGCAUUCCUGGGCAGCGGAGGAGGGUCUGUCCUUCCUCGGAGGACUUCCCUCACUGAGCUUUUGAAAGGAAUUCUUCACCUGUCAGGAGGACCAAACAAGCCACUUUCAGAGCGACAAACAGAUGGGCUUCAGACUUCGCUAUAGCAGCACCCAGUGUGGGGGGCAACGGCACGGGGUCUGCAGGCCUGGGAGAGAGCCGAGGAGGGCACCCAGCCAGGCCUGGGGAGGGCCCCACUCCUGAGGAAAUCCAGCUAAAUAAGGUACUGAUUUAGAAGAAAAACUCCAGGAACGGAGACGCUGUGGAGGAACAACAGGUGGUAAGAAUUGUAUCUGUUUAAAAAUACGAAACAGUAGGAAUUAUGAUUCUUCAACACGAUGUUUAUGUUACGAACUUGGACUGUGUGGUCCAAUAAUAAUACAACCACCACCACCAACAAAAAACACUGGAGGAGGGUGAGGGAGAGGUGAAGAAAGGGGCAGUGGGAAUAGGAUCGUCUUUCAGAAUCAGAGCCAACUGACACUGUCCGCAGCAGAAACUUUCGCAAAACUUACUGACUCAGGCUCUCCAUGUUUUGCCUGACCUCUUCUAUGACUCUUAGGAGGCUCUUUUGAGAAAUAAUACCUCUUGUAGCAAAGAAAUAUUUAUUUAAAGAGCAGAAAUUCCUGAGCUUUUAUUUCAGUUCCUUUUUCUGAUUGAAUUAAAAUGAAUACUUUUAAGUAAAACUAGCAAGGAUUGUGCUAUCCAGUUUUAAUAAACUCCAUCCUUAUAUCCAUCCAGCUAUUCAUCCUUCUGUAUGCAUGUACGUAUGUGUGUAUAUACAUGUUUUACACACAGAAUGUUAAGUCCAA